Non-coding RNA from Vicugna pacos (alpaca), 1810 nucleotides. The record is from RefSeq and is a predicted model, not a curated record. Lineage: Eukaryota; Metazoa; Chordata; Mammalia; Artiodactyla; Camelidae.
AGAAGCUUCCUCUCGCCACACAGCGAGCCCAGCCUGGGGGGUGACACAGCUGAUGCGACACCGGACAGCAAAGCCUCAGAAGAAAGCAGAAAGGACCUGCACGUCCUGCGUGGCUGUCCCUGGGGCAGGACAGGUGGGGCCGCAGCCACUCCUCCGGGACAGGACCAAAGGUGGCUUCAGGUAGGCCCACGCCCCGAGUGACACAGCAAAAUCAGGACGUUCGUAGAAGAAGGCGCAGGAUUAUUUCUUGGCAGCCUGAAAGGAGAAGGACUUAAAACAUCUCCAGAAGCAUCACAGGAGGGCAAGAAGAAGGGGAACCUGAUGAUGUCGACGUGAGGACUGCUGCUGGCCACGGAUGCCGGGACCGAGCCAGCACGUGAAGGCAGAACAGGAGAACACAGGCGCCAGGUCUAAAGCUGACAAGAAUUAAUACUGCAGGCACACAAAGAACGUCUGCACGUGGAGAAGGGCAGCUGAGCAGAGAUGCUCAGAGAAGCAUUAGCACCCCUGCGGACGGACGCACGGCCCGCAGACCACGCCCAUCCAGGGCUCACCCAUUUGCCCCCCGCAUCUCCUCCCGCCCCGGGGCUCUCCCUGCCGCCCCGGGGAGGGAGCCCCUGCAGACAGACACCAGGCAGCACGACCGUCCAGGAGCCGGGAAGGCCCCAGAAAUUCACAUCGCCAGAAUUUGGACGGGGCCGCAGGGGACCUGCAGGUGGCUUGGGUAGAGCUGACGUUCUAACCACAGGAAGCCCUCCAGUCCGUGAACGCAGGGCGUGCCCCCGUUGCCAUGUCUCCUUUCAGCAAGGCUCUGUCCAGACCUUUUAUCUUCCCGGCGUGUUUGCCACAAGCAGACGGAAAUGAAGCUGGUCUCCGUGUUGACGCCGUGGCCUGCGACUCAGCUGACUUCACCUGUCGGUUCUGACAAGUUUUUUCGUGGAAUCUUUAGGAUUUUCUUUUUUUUUUAAUUAUUUAUUUUAAUUGGAUUUUUUUUUUUCAAAUGGAGGUGCUGGGGAUUGAACCCAGGACCCUGUGCCUGCUAAGCACGCGCCCUGCCGCUGGGCUGCACCCUCCCACCUAGGGUUUUCUACAUAUCAGAUCACAUCAUCUGUGAAUAGAGGUCAUGUGGCUUCCUUUCCUGGUUGGAUGCUUCCUGGGCCCACUCUCUGGGACAGCCCACACUGCUCGUUCCACACAGAGAGCCCUCCUUGUCCCGUUUACAAAACUGUGACCCUGCGGAGGAAACGUACAUCCUAACUUUAUUCAGGAAAAAGGCACCUGGCUCCACUGUGAACUUCCCGCCACCACUGACGGCUGUCUGCCACCCCUGGAGCCACGGUCACCCCUGGGUCCUGGUGCUGGGCUGUCCAGCCCCAGGCUUUCCUGCGGGGAGGUCACAGGGCCAUUCUAGAAGUGCGGCCUCCGCAGUGUCCCAUCUCGCCUUCAGACACCACGGUGGGCUGGCAUCUGUGCUCUGAGGCUGCACCUCAGAAACCCCGGACCACCGUGGGGAGAUAGUGGACAAGACUGCGUCCCCAGCUGCAGCCACAGGCUCUGGCUGUGACCUGCGUGCUGAGCUCUCCCUGGCUCCUCUCUGCCCGGUGGAGCCGAGCAUAGCCAAGAGCCUCCUGUCACUGAUCAGGAGAGCUGACCCCGGGCUGGCUGUGGGGCACAGUCCUCCAUCCUCUGUCUUCUGUGUCUGCACUUGCAAAACAGGUCUUUCCAGCUCCAAGUGUUCACGUGGGAAGACUUAAAUACUGCUUCAGUUGAUUUGCUAGGCACAGGACCAUUCAAGCUUAUUAUUUGUUCU